RNAcentral lists this ribosomal RNA (443 nucleotides) under uncultured bacterium. RNAcentral describes it as "partial 16S ribosomal RNA". It matches the Rfam family "Bacterial small subunit ribosomal RNA", at positions 338 to 795 of the family's 1533-position model. The record is from RNAcentral.
CCUACGGGUGACAGCAGUGGGGAAUAUUGGGCAAUGGGCGCAAGCCUGACCCAGCAACGCCGCGUGAAGGAAGAAGGCUUUCGGGUUGUAAACUUCUUUUGACAGGGAAGAGUAGACGACGGUACCUGUCGAAUAAGCCACGGCUAACUACGUGCCAGCAGCCGCGGUAAUACGUAGGUGGCAAGCGUUGUCCGGAUUUACUGGGUGUAAAGGGCGUGUAGCCGGGCUGACAAGUCAGAUGUGAAAUCCGGGGGCUCAACCCCCGAACUGCAGUUGAAACUGUUGGUCUUGAGUAUCGGAGAGGGAGGGGGAAUUGCGAGGGUAGCGGUGAAAUGGGUAGAUAUUAGGAGGGACACCAGUGGCGAAGGCGGCCUGGUGGACGACAACUGGCGGUGGGGGGCGAAAGCGUGGGGAGCAAACAGGAUUAGAUACCCCGGGUAGUC